UACGUAGGGGGCUAGCGUUGUCCGGAUUUAUUGGGCGUAAAGCGCGCGUAGGCGGCCCGUUAAGUCGGAUGUGAAAACCCGGGGCUCAACCCCGGGCCUGCAUUCGAUACUGGCGGGCUCGAGGCAGGCAGGGGAGAGUGGAAUUCCUGGUGUAGCGGUGAAAUGCGCAGAUAUCAGGAGGAACACCGGUGGCGAAGGCGGCUCUCUGGGCCUGUCCUGACGCUCAGGCGCGAAAGCUAGGGGAGCAAACAGG
Molecule: ribosomal RNA, 253 nt
Filed under: uncultured bacterium
Lineage: Bacteria
Description: partial 16S ribosomal RNA
Rfam family: Bacterial small subunit ribosomal RNA
Source: RNAcentral